Long non-coding RNA from Diabrotica virgifera virgifera (western corn rootworm), 634 nucleotides. RefSeq lists it as uncharacterized. The record is from RefSeq and is a predicted model, not a curated record. Lineage: Eukaryota; Metazoa; Arthropoda; Insecta; Coleoptera; Chrysomelidae. The transcript has 3 exons.
ACAGGACCAACCAAAUCACCUUGGUACAUCCAGAAAUAUUUAUGAUUGAAAUGCUGGGAGCAAAUGGAAUCUCAUAUUGGAUAAAUGUCAAUUUCAGUUGUGCAGGUCUUCUAAAGUACCAUCAUUGCAGUUGUCAUUUAAUUUCACUUAUCCUACAAACUAAUGUUUCAACUGAUUGAUUAGGAAUCAAGACUUCUUACUCAGUGGAACCCCGAUCAGUCGGCCUCCGAUAACCCAGAAGUCUGGCUAACCCGGAUCGAUUUUCAUCAGACAAAACGAAAAAUGUUUCACUUUUACCAAGUUUUUUACCAAGAAAUAAGCAAUACUGUAUACAGGGUGAGGCAGAUAAAGGGCCUAUUAGAAAUAUCUCGAGAACUAAAGGUAAGAGAAUCAUGAAAAUUGGAAUACAGGGGUUUUGAGGUAUGAACUAUUUAAUGAAAAUAUUUUGGUCUCUUUGCUACUUCCGGUUAUACCGGAAGUUGAUUAAAACUUCGUUUUUUUUUAAUGGGACACCCUGUAUAUUUUUACAUUUUUAGAUUCUGCUCGAUGUCUUCUUUCUUAAAAUAUGAGGUUUUGUAAUAUUAUACAAGGUAGUUUAAAAGAUAAUUAAGGUUUUUUAUAAAUUUUGUAGCAA